GACUCUGUUUUGUUUUGAUUGCUUGAAGCAAUGUGAAAAACACAUUUCACCAGUUUUGGGGGGAAAAAGAGUC
Nannospalax galili (Upper Galilee mountains blind mole rat) is the source of this 73-nucleotide small nucleolar RNA. RefSeq annotates it as small nucleolar RNA SNORD102. The transcript has a single exon. The record is from RefSeq and is a predicted model, not a curated record. Lineage: Eukaryota; Metazoa; Chordata; Mammalia; Rodentia; Spalacidae.